RNAcentral lists this ribosomal RNA (253 nucleotides) under uncultured bacterium. RNAcentral's name for it is "partial 16S ribosomal RNA". It matches the Rfam family "Bacterial small subunit ribosomal RNA", at positions 524 to 776 of the family's 1533-position model. The record is from RNAcentral.
UACGAAGGGGGCUAGCGUUGCUCGGAAUUACUGGGCGUAAAGCGCAUGUAGGCGGUCUUUUAAGUCGGGGGUGAAAUCCUGGAGCUCAACUCCAGAACUGCCUUCGAUACUGGAAGACUCGAGUCCGGGAGAGGUGAGUGGAACUGCGAGUGUAGAGGUGAAAUUCGUAGAUAUUCGCAAGAACACCAGUGGCGAAGGCGGCUCACUGGCCCGGUACUGACGCUGAGGUGCGAAAGCGUGGGGAGCAAACAGG